Molecule: ribosomal RNA, 448 nt
Filed under: uncultured bacterium
Lineage: Bacteria
Description: SSU rRNA
Rfam family: Bacterial small subunit ribosomal RNA
Source: RNAcentral
AGAACGAACGCUGGCGGCAGGCUUAACACAUGCAAGUCGAACGCGUGUAGCAAUACACGAGUGGCGCACGGGUGAGUAACGCGUGGAUAUCUGCCUUUUGGUUCGGAAUAACCCCGGGAAACUGGGGCUAAUACCGGAUGGUUCCUACGGGAUAAAGAUUUAUCGCCAAAAGAUGAGUCCGCGUACGAUUAGCUAGUUGGUGAGGUAAUGGCUCACCAAGGCGACGAUCGUUAGCUGGUCUGAGAGGACGAUCAGCCACACUGGGACUGAGACACGGCCCAGACUCCUACGGGAGGCAGCAGUGGGGAAUAUUGGACAAUGGGGGCAACCCUGAUCCAGCCAUGCCGCGUGAGUGAUGAAGGCCUUCGGGUUGUAAAGCUCUUUUGGCGGGACGAUGAUGACGGUACCCGCAGAAUAAGCCCCGGCUAACCUUCGCGCCAGCAGCCGC